UACGUAGGGGGCAAGCGUUAUCCGGAUUUACUGGGUGUAAAGGGAGCGUAGACGGCGCUGCAAGUCCGGAGUGAAAGCCCAUGGCUUAACCAUGGUACUGCUCUGGAAACUGUGGAGCUUGAGUGCGGGAGGGGCAGGCGGAAUUCCUAGUGUAGCGGUGAAAUGCGUAGAUAUUAGGAGGAACACCAGUGGCGAAGGCGGCCUGCUGGGCUUUUACUGACGCUGAGGCUCGAAAGUGUGGGGAGCAAACAGG
Molecule: ribosomal RNA, 253 nt
Filed under: uncultured Eubacteriales bacterium
Lineage: Bacteria; Bacillati; Bacillota; Clostridia; Eubacteriales
Description: uncultured Clostridiales bacterium partial 16S ribosomal RNA
Rfam family: Bacterial small subunit ribosomal RNA
Source: RNAcentral